GGAUGCGUGGCGCAGUUGGUUAGCUCGCCUCAUUCACACGUGGAUUCCACGUCACUGUCCUGAGGAGGUCGACGGUUCGAGCCCGUCCGCGUUCA
Molecule: non-coding RNA, 95 nt
Organism: Kwoniella sp. DSM 27419
Lineage: Eukaryota; Fungi; Basidiomycota; Tremellomycetes; Tremellales; Cryptococcaceae
Source: the annotation of a GenBank genome assembly